Molecule: ribosomal RNA, 460 nt
Filed under: uncultured bacterium
Lineage: Bacteria
Description: partial 16S ribosomal RNA
Rfam family: Bacterial small subunit ribosomal RNA
Source: RNAcentral
CCUACGGGAGGCAGCAGUGAGGAAUAUUGGUCAAUGGACGCAAGUCUGAACCAGCCAUGCCGCGUGCAGGAAGACGGCUCUAUGUGUUGUAAACUGCUUUUGUACGGGGGUAAACGCAGGUACGCGUAUCUGUCUGAAAGUAUCUUAAGAAUAAGGAUCGGCUAACUCCGUGCCAGCAGCCGCGGUAAUACGGAGGAUUCAAGCGUUAUCCGGAUUUAUUGGGUUUAAAGGGUGCGUAGGCGGUCGGGUAAGUUAGAGGUGAAAUCCCGAGGCUCAACUUCGGAACUGCCUUUGAUACUGUCCGGCUAGAGAGUAGUUGAGGUAGGCGGAAUGUAUGGUGUAGCGGUGAAAUGCUUAGAGAUCACACAGAACACCGAUUGCGAAGGCAGCUUACCAAGCUAACUCUGACGUUGAGGCACGAAAGCGUGGGGAGCAAACAGGAUUAGAUACCCCAGUAGUC